Molecule: unclassified non-coding RNA, 177 nt
Filed under: uncultured Sebacina
Lineage: Eukaryota; Fungi; Basidiomycota; Agaricomycetes; Sebacinales; Sebacinaceae
Description: sequence contains ITS1
Source: RNAcentral
AUGAUUGCAAAUGGGUUACCUUCAGUGCUGGCUCCGCCGAAGAGCAAGUGCACGUUGGUGGCUUUCAUCCAAUACCCUUGUGAACCUUUCGCCUCUUGCUAGCUUCGGCUGGCAGAGGAUUUUUAUACACACACUCGAAUGUAAUGAAAUCUAUUGUCGUGCGCAAGCACUAAUGUA